GGGAUUGUGGCUCAGCAGUAGAGUGCUCUCCUGGCAUGUGUGAGGCCCUGGGUUCAAUCCUCAGCACCA
This is a non-coding RNA of Ictidomys tridecemlineatus (thirteen-lined ground squirrel), 69 nucleotides long. The record is from Rfam. Lineage: Eukaryota; Metazoa; Chordata; Mammalia; Rodentia; Sciuridae.